Molecule: long non-coding RNA, 2374 nt
Organism: Gadus macrocephalus (Pacific cod)
Lineage: Eukaryota; Metazoa; Chordata; Actinopteri; Gadiformes; Gadidae
Exons: 2
Source: RefSeq, a predicted model, not a curated record
UGGAUGGCGUGCACGGAAUUGGUUGUCGGUAUUAAAUCCUUCCACCACUUGGUUCAUACACUACAUAUUGAGUAAUGAUCGAGAGAAACACGAAGCAAAGAUGACCUUCAUCCACCGUCACCAGAAGACGUCUUGUCGAACCGUACGGAGGGUUAAAAACGUAUUAAAUCAUUCCAUCGUCCGACUCCAUCGCAGGCUAUACGUCACGGUGACUAUCGCCAUCUCUACCCCCUCGCGUCCCUCAAGUACACCCCGCCAUCGUUCUCGGCAUGCUGGCCGUUAUUGAUGAGGUGAUGGACCUGUAGGGUAUUAUACAUCAGCGGCUGGCAUGGUCGCCAGGCGUGGGCCUCACGCCAACGUUGUACCCCUCCCAAUGACUACCCCCAACCCCAAUAACCCAUCCCAUCCCUGCUGAUCCCUGUCUGGGCUUUAGACGAGCCAGCCAGGGCCCUCUCCUGCAUGUUAACAAGGCGCUAGUCCGGUCCAAGUUUCAGGAUCUGUGCCUCUAUGCUAAUUCAUGCAAAGCAGUGGCCACCCUCAAUGCCCCCCACUUAGUUCACCCACCCCGCCCGCUCCCAUCCCUGAUCCAGGCCAUGCUAGUCUGGCCUGUAUUAACCCGUCCGUGCCACCACUGUCCAGCUUCCCAGUGUCCUACAGCUAACCCAGGGCCCACCCCGAGAGGUUUGCGAGGUUCAUCGCAGUGAGACACAUACUAAAAAUAUGUACAUCGGGUUCAAUAUUGUGCAAUAAGUACUUGAAAUGCAGGACUGGUAGUUGGUGGUUAAUAUUUAGUCGAACUAGGCAGGCGUAACAACUUUGAGUGGGUUAUUUUGUAUCCUCUUUGCACCACGAUGGACCUUGUUCUCCGUGAGGAUCCAGGACACGGCCCCCGGAAGUCGUACAACAGGUAGACGUUAUAGUGUUCGAAAAUAGACUUAAAAUGGCUGACACGUUAGGCGCCAUUUUGUGGUUCCUUGUUUUGUUUAGGGUGCAGAAUCCCAGCUUUGUAUUCAAUCAGAAGCAGCUGGUGGCAACCGUAUUUGCAGGCAUGUGUGUGUGUGUGUGUGUGUGUGUGUGUGUGUGUGUGUGUGUGUGUGUGUGUGUUCAGAGAGGCAGCAACUAGCCUACCCAGUGGCUACCCCACUGGAAUGAGCUCAGCUUUUUCGGCAAAAGAAACAGAAAUACAUUUCUGGCACAAAGACGGGUGCCAUUUCUAUUUCUUUCGAUCACAUGCAGGAAUUGCAGGAAGACAGUGAGGUAUUUUUGAUGGGCUUUCGUUUCGUUACUCUAUUACUAUUUUGUCUGUAAAAUAUUGCGGUGGGUUGCAUUCUGUUGCAUCAUACACUGUGGCUGGCUUGUGGGCAUGACGCGAUCGAUAUUUCUUAAAAACUCGGCAGGUAGAGGCAUGCUGUGGUUCAAUGUAAAAAUGUUCACAGGAUGGACAUGUAUGGUGAGCUAUUCCACAAAGCCAUCAUAGGAAUAUGAAAAAGGAGAAAAUGUGGAAGAUCAAACAUAGCUUUCAAUAUUAGAAUUGUAAAUCAUUUAUUUAUUUACUUUGUCUUAACUUCACCAGUGACCACUGAUAUGGACCCUCGUUAAAUACAUUCAUAAUUAUAAAUGACAUUAUUGCAUAGCAAAAGCAAAUCAGAUCGAUAAAACCGUUUUUUUGUCUCUUUUUCUCUGUAUCAUUACAGGAAUCUCAUCUGUGAGGAUCCUGGAUGUUGCAACACAAGAAUGCUGUCCUUGGGGCUGAGGUAGUAGAUUGAAUAGUUGUGGGGUUGUGCACCCCAAUCUGAGAUAACUAUACAAUCUACUGUCUUUCCUAAGGAGACAGCCAGGUCAGCCAAUCCGCAGCAGCCGUCUCUGAGGCAGCAUUACAGCCGCCAUAUCAAAUCAUCUCCUUUCUUUACCCUCCCAUGUCUUCGUCCAGAAACAGGCCGACUGUGGCUGGGUCGAGGCGGGGUCGUGCUCAGGUUCCUAUGUGUUCUGUCGGGGUGAGGUAGUAGGUUGUAUAGUUUGGUGGGAGGGAUCAGCCCUGCUCAGGUGAUAACUAUACAGUCUAUUGCCUUCCCUGAGGACCACGCUAAACGCAUACAAAGGACCAUCAACAGAAGAACGUCAUUGUUUCAAUGUCAACGUAUCAUUUAGGAAAAUUGAAAAUGUUUGUUCAGAACAAGAUUGUUUCGUAAGUGCUUUGUUUCAUAAGAGUUAUGCUUGUCAUUCUAAAUGUUUUAUAGUUCAAAAGCUGAGGUUUUUCAUUUGAUUGUACUUUAUCUGUGACUAGUUUAAGGCGUGACAAAUUGUUUUUUAAUUUAUUGAUGGAAAUAAACUAUGAAGCCUUGAUUAAUAAAGUUUGACGGAUGACAUAUAGAAA